CUUCAAUCAAAAAAUAUUUGAAGGCAAUUCCAUACUAUAUGUAAAAGCAAUGAGGGUAGUUUAUCAAGGUAGAAAUGGAUGUGAUUCUGGGGCUAAGGGUUAAAUAAGGAGCAGUCAUAGUGGAAACAAAUACCUGUCUGCCUUGAUAAAUCUCCCUCACAAUUGGAUACCAUGCUCCAGUUUUGUGUUUUCAUGCAUACCAUUUUUGUGUUUUCAUGCAUACCUUUUUUUUUUAUGCCAGUAUAUGAAUUCCGAAAAGCACAUCAUUAGACCAAAGGCUUCCAUUUAAGAACACUCAUACCUUUAUAAGAAAACCAACAUACAUAGCAGCCAAUAUGAAGACAAGUAUAAUAGGCCAUCCUAUAAAAGGUUUCUCAGGGUAACUCAGACUUUGCC
Molecule: non-coding RNA, 396 nt
Organism: Pelobates cultripes (western spadefoot toad)
Lineage: Eukaryota; Metazoa; Chordata; Amphibia; Anura; Pelobatidae
Source: the annotation of a GenBank genome assembly